AUUGAACGCUAGCGGCAUGCUUUACACAUGCAAGUCGAACGGCAGCGCGGGGCAACCUGGCGGCGAGUGGCGAACGGGUGAGUAAUAUAUCGGAACGUACCCAGGAGUGGGGGAUAACGUAGCGAAAGUUACGCUAAUACCGCAUACGACCUAAGGGUGAAAGUGGGGGAUCGCAAGACCUCAUGCUCAUGGAGCGGCCGAUAUCUGAUUAGCUAGUUGGUGGGGUAAAGGCUCACCAAGGCAACGAUCAGUAGCUCGUCUGAGAGGACGACCAGCCACACUGGAACUGAGACACGGUCCAGACUCCUACGGGAGGCAGCAGUGGGGAAUUUUUGGACAAUGGGCGCAAGCCUGAUCCAGCAAUGCCGCGUGCAGGAUGAAGGCC
This 385-nucleotide ribosomal RNA is filed under the name uncultured bacterium. RNAcentral's name for it is "bacterial SSU rRNA". It matches the Rfam family "Bacterial small subunit ribosomal RNA", at positions 30 to 416 of the family's 1533-position model. The record is from RNAcentral.